UGGUGUUCUUUGGUCCCAUCAACUACUCUUUCAUGGCAGUAACGAUUCUGGAUUGGGGAUCAACAGAAGGGGCUGAGCUUGAGUUAAGAUUGGGAGGCCAGGGUAUAAGGUCUCAAAGCAAUUUGAUCCAGAGACAAAACAACGGUCUCUUCUGUUUCAGCCAACCCUUUGUUUCAAAGUAUUUUGAUGUUAUUGAUCCUUCAAGGACGAACAACAAUCUUUGACAAAGUUUCAGAACAAGUAAGCGAUUGGUGGUUUGGAUGUCAAUGAGUGGAACGGUAGAAGGGUCGUCUCUGAACCCAAAUGCCCUACACUCUGUUCUGCAGCAGUUGCGGGAGUCAGUGCAGGCAUUGUUGGAACACUUCCAUCAGUGGAGGCAACAAGAUAUGGCUGGCAAAGACUUGUUUGAGACUGCCUCUAUGGAGGCUUUAGUCAUGAACCUGAGCACCAAAUCUCCGAAAAAAGGCGUGAGGCCGGGUAAAUAUCGUGAAAAACCUAUCCAAUGCGUAAGGCCAAAGUGUACUCCUCGCCGCAUCAUUCUUCGAGGCCGACUAGCUAUUUUGUGCUUUUUUUGUUUUAAAUUCGAAUGUCACUAUACUUUGAAACAGAACUAUUUAGUCUUUGUGUAUAGUUGAAUUCUCCUGUAAAUACUAAUACUUUGUAAUUGAAUUCUAUUGUUUUGGUA
Zingiber officinale is the source of this 685-nucleotide long non-coding RNA. RefSeq lists it as uncharacterized. NCBI's taxonomy places the organism in Eukaryota, Viridiplantae, Streptophyta, Magnoliopsida, Zingiberales, Zingiberaceae. The transcript has 4 exons. The record is from RefSeq and is a predicted model, not a curated record.